RNAcentral lists this ribosomal RNA (640 nucleotides) under Desulfomicrobium sp. STP10. Its description in RNAcentral is "bacterial SSU rRNA". It matches the Rfam family "Bacterial small subunit ribosomal RNA", at positions 281 to 915 of the family's 1533-position model. Lineage: Bacteria; Pseudomonadati; Thermodesulfobacteriota; Desulfovibrionia; Desulfovibrionales; Desulfomicrobiaceae. The record is from RNAcentral.
AAGUAGCUGGCCUGAGAGGAUGAUCAGCCACACUGGAACUGAAACACGGUCCAGACUCUACGGGAGGCAGCAGUGGGGAAUAUUGCGCAAUGGGCGAAAGCCUGACGCAGCAACGCCGUGUGAGGGAUGAAGGCUUUCGGGUCGUAAACCUCUGUCGGAAGGGAAGAACGGGCAUUGGUCUAAUAGGCCUUUGUUUUGACGGUACCUUUAGAGGAAGCACCGGCUAACUCCGUGCCAGCAGCCGCGGUAAUACGGAGGGUGCAAGCGUUAUUCGGAAUUACUGGGCGUAAAGCGCACGUAGGCGGCUUCGUAAGUCAGGGGUGAAAUCCCACGGCUCAACCGUGGAACUGCCUUUGAAACUGCAAAGCUUGAAUCCUGGAGAGGGUGGCGGAAUUCCUGGUGUAGGAGUGAAAUCCGUAGAUAUCAGGAGGAACACCGGUGGCGAAGGCGGCCACCUGGACAGGCAUUGACGCUGAGGUGCGAAAGUGUGGGGAGCAAACAGGAUUAGAUACCCUGGUAGUCCACACCGUAAACGAUGGAUACUAGGUGUCGGGGACUUGAUCUUCGGUGCCGUAGCUAACGCGUUAAGUAUCCCGCCUCGGGAGUACGGUCGCAAGGCUGAAACUCAAAGAAAUUGACG